Molecule: ribosomal RNA, 285 nt
Filed under: uncultured bacterium
Lineage: Bacteria
Description: partial 16S ribosomal RNA
Rfam family: Bacterial small subunit ribosomal RNA
Source: RNAcentral
GGAUCCUACGGGAGGCAGCAGUGGGGAAUAUUGCGCAAUGGGCGAAAGCCUGACGCAGCGACGCCGCGUGAGGGAUGGAGGUCUUCGGAUCGUAAACCUCUGUCAGCAGGGAAGAACGGUCACUGUGCUAAUCAGCAGUGAAUUGACGGUACCUGCAAAGGAAGCACCGGCUAACUCCGUGCCAGCAGCCGCGGCAAUACGGAGGGGGCGAGCGUUAAUCGGAAUGACUGGGCGUAAAGCGCUCGAAGGCGGUAUGUCAAGUCAAGGGUGAAAUCCCCGCGCUCA